This 933-nucleotide ribosomal RNA is filed under the name uncultured bacterium. RNAcentral's name for it is "bacterial SSU rRNA". It matches the Rfam family "Bacterial small subunit ribosomal RNA", at positions 8 to 916 of the family's 1533-position model. The record is from RNAcentral.
AGAGUUUGAUCCUGGCUCAGAACGAACGCUGGCGGCGUGCUUAACACAUGCAAGUCGAACGAGAAAGAUUUCUUCGGAAAUUGAGUAGAGUGGCGCACGGGUGAGUAACGCGUAGGUAAUCUACCCUAAUAUUUGGGAUAACAUUGGGAAACUGGUGCUAAUACCGAAUACCCUUCUUUUCUGUCGGGUUAAGGAGGAAAGGUGGCCUCUUCAUGAAAGCUACCGUAUAAGGAUGAGCCUGCGUACUAUUAGCUAGUAGGUGGGGUAAAGGCCCACCUAGGCUACGAUGGUUAGCGGGUCUGAGAGGAUGAUCCGCCACACUGGAACUGGAACACGGACCAGACUCCUACGGGAGGCAGCAGUGAGGAAUAUUGCGCAAUGGGGGAAACCCUGACGCAGCGACGCCGCGUGAGUGAGGAAGGUUUUCGGAUCGUAAAGCUCUGUCAGAAGGGAAGAAGUGUUAUACAGUUAAUACCUGUAUAAUUUGACGGUACCUUCAGAGGAAGCACCGGCUAACUCCGUGCCAGCAGCCGCGGUAAUACGGAGGGUGCGAGCGUUGUUCGGAAUUACUGGGCGUAAAGGGCGCGUAGGCGGCCCGAUAAGUCAGGUGUGAAAGUCCACGGCUCAACCGUGGAAGUGCAUUUGAAACUGUCAGGCUUGAGUAUCGGAGGGGAAAGUGGAAUUCCCGGUGUAGAGGUGAAAUUCGUAGAGAUCGGGAGGAACACCGGUGGCGAAGGCGACUUUCUGGACGAAUACUGACGCUGAGGCGCGAAAGCGUGGGGAGCAAACAGGAUUAGAUACCCUGGUAGUCCACGCCGUAAACGAUGUGAACUAGGGAUAGGGGGUGUUGAUCCCUCCUGUCCCGCAGCUAACGCAUUAAGUUCACCGCCUGGGGAGUACGGUCGCAAGAUUAAAACUCAAAGGAAUUGAUGG